CUUUACGCGUUAGGGAUAGUAGUGAAAAGCCCACAGACUAGUGUAGUGACAACGAAACUAGUCGAGGACUUGUAGCGAAUAGCCCGGCUCCUU
This 93-nucleotide unclassified non-coding RNA is filed under the name Flavobacterium succinicans. Its description in RNAcentral is "Flavo-1 RNA". The record is from RNAcentral. Lineage: Bacteria; Pseudomonadati; Bacteroidota; Flavobacteriia; Flavobacteriales; Flavobacteriaceae.